UCCCAGAACUUCUGCUGCCAAUGUCCUUGUCCCCAUGGUGAGCCACACACCCCCACACCCCCACCCCACCUCUACAGAAGACUCUCCAACACUAGCAGACUGAAGACUGAAGAGUAGCAAAGGAUAUUUUGUCAUGUGUGAUAGUAAUGCACCUGAUUUCUGAGUAAAACAUGGCAAUGUAAGGAUAUUCAUUCUGUCAACAACAAUGCAGAAGACUCAUUUGAUUCUCAGGGGAACACAUUUUUGCUGUUUUUUGCUAUGCUGUCACAAGGUACUUUGUACUUACCCUGCAAUCCUCAGUAAAUGCCAACUGAAUGACCUCUGAGGGAGAUGACUUUAAUUCCACCUCUGUUUCUAAUUUCCUCACCAGCCAAUUCUUGAUAGAA
This is a long non-coding RNA of Orcinus orca (killer whale), 386 nucleotides long. RefSeq lists it as uncharacterized. NCBI's taxonomy places the organism in Eukaryota, Metazoa, Chordata, Mammalia, Artiodactyla, Delphinidae. The transcript has 3 exons. The record is from RefSeq and is a predicted model, not a curated record.